This 481-nucleotide ribosomal RNA is filed under the name uncultured bacterium. RNAcentral's name for it is "partial 16S ribosomal RNA". It matches the Rfam family "Bacterial small subunit ribosomal RNA", at positions 28 to 507 of the family's 1533-position model. The record is from RNAcentral.
GACGAACGCUGGCGGCGUGCUUAACACAUGCAAGUCGAACGCUGAAGCUCAGCUUGCUGGGUGGAUGAGUGGCGAACGGGUGAGUAACACGUGAGUAACCUGCCCCCUUCUUUGGGAUAACGCCCGGAAACGGGUGCUAAUACUGGAUAUUCACUGAUCUUCGCUUGGGGGUUGGUGGAAAGGUUUUUUCUGGUGGGGGAUGGGCUCGCGGCCUAUCAGCUUGUUGGUGGGGUGAUGGCCUUCCAAGGCUUUGACGGGUCGCCGGCCUGAGAGGGUGACCGGUCACAGAGGGAGUGAGAUCAGGCCCAGACUGAUACGGGAGGCAGCAGUGUGGAAUAGUGAGCAAUGGGCGAAAGCGUGAUACGGCGACGCCGCGGGAGGGGUGGAGGCGUGUGGGUUGUAAAGCUCUUUGGGUUAUGGUCAAGCCUUAACAUUGGUUGUGGUGAGGGUAGUGGGUAAAGAAGCGCCGGCUAACUACGUG